This 447-nucleotide ribosomal RNA is filed under the name uncultured bacterium. Its description in RNAcentral is "partial 16S ribosomal RNA". It matches the Rfam family "Bacterial small subunit ribosomal RNA", at positions 29 to 523 of the family's 1533-position model. The record is from RNAcentral.
AACGAACGCUGGCGGCAGGCUUAACACAUGCAAGUCGAGCGCCCCGCAAGGGGAGCGGCAGACGGGUGAGUAACGCGUGGGAAUCUACCUUUUGCUACGGAAUAACUCAGGGAAACUUGUGCUAAUACCGUAUGUGCCCUUCGGGGGAAAGAUUUAUCGGCAAAGGAUGAGCCCGCGUUGGAUUAGCUAGUUGGUAGGGUAAUGGCCUACCAAGGCGACGAUCCAUAGCUGGUCUGAGAGGAUGAUCAGCCACACUGGGACUGAGACACGGCCCAGACUCCUACGGGAGGCAGCAGUGGGGAAUAUUGGACAAUGGGCGCAAGCCUGAUCCAGCCAUGCCGCGUGAGUGAUGAAGGCCCUAGGGUUGUAAAGCUCUUUCACCGGUGAAGAUAAUGACGGUAACCGGAGAAGAAGCCCCGGCUAACUUCGUGCCAGCAGCCGCCGCAG